Small nuclear RNA from Peromyscus eremicus (cactus mouse), 108 nucleotides. NCBI's taxonomy places the organism in Eukaryota, Metazoa, Chordata, Mammalia, Rodentia, Cricetidae. The record is from RefSeq and is a predicted model, not a curated record.
GUGUUUACAUCAGCAGCACAUAUACUAAAAUUAGGAUGAUACAGAGAGGAUUAGCAUGGCCCCAUGUGAAAGGAUGACACACAAAUUCUUUCCAAAAAAAAGAAUUGU